UUAAGUUCAGCGGGUAGUCCUACCUGAUUUGAGGUCAAAAUGUCAAUUAAGAUUGUUGUCCCUUGCGAGACGGUUAUAAGCAGGUUCCCAUAAGUUUGCUUCAAAGUCAACUGGCAUAGAUAAUUAUCACACCAAGUGACGGUCCACAAGAGAUCCCACUAAUGCUUUUAAAGGGAGCAGACCAUCCACUGAAGGAAGCC
Molecule: unclassified non-coding RNA, 200 nt
Filed under: Agaricales sp.
Lineage: Eukaryota; Fungi; Basidiomycota; Agaricomycetes; Agaricales
Description: partial internal transcribed spacer 2
Source: RNAcentral